This 561-nucleotide long non-coding RNA is filed under the name Homo sapiens (human). RNAcentral describes it as "HSALNT0132048". The record is from RNAcentral. Lineage: Eukaryota; Metazoa; Chordata; Mammalia; Primates; Hominidae.
CAGCUCAACUGUCACUGAAGUAUAAGCACAUACCAAAUUAUCUUCCAAUAUAAAAGGCCUCAGAAGAUCCACUUUUCCAAAACUCACUUUGAAAACGUUCUUCAAGGAAAUUAGAAGAUAAAUAAAUCCAGGAGGAUGUUGAUAGGAACUAUGGGUAUAAAAAACUUUAGAUCAAAUAGAUUUUAGUAGUCUAUUGUUAUCUAAAAAAGCCAGGAGCAGCCAGGACCAAAGUGAGGAGAGAAGAUGAAGUACAUUUACAACAAUGCAAAAGUAAAUAUUUAAACAGAAUCAACAUGGGAGUCCAAAGAUUUAAUAUUAAUCUGCUCAGGAAAUCAAUACGAUUAGCUAUGUAUUGAUGUGGAUCUUAAACUAAAGGUAACCACCAUUAAAAUCGAUAGGAGAAACUUAGGGAAAAAGAAAUGAAUGUAAAAGCCAAUUAUGAAUGAAGGAGGCAGAAAUAAAGUCCUGCUGCAACCAGACACAAUCAACUUAAUGAGCUAAAACACCAAUACGAAGCUUGGAUUUAUAAAGAAAGAAUCAACAGUUUUCCAAGAGAAGCAU